CCAGCCUGCAUAGUUGAUCCUGCUCCUUGGGAGCCCUUCCCGUGUCCCCAUGAGUGUCGCUCUGUGCCUUCUGUUUCUAGGACCAGUAUGCCCUAAUAGUUAAGAGAACCAGAUUCCACAUGGCUAAUCAUGCAGUUCAUAUUUGGACUCAUCAGCUUACAACACCCCAGUGAGUUUAUGUGUCCUCUGGACAAAUUAAAAAUUAAA
Long non-coding RNA from Tupaia belangeri chinensis (Chinese tree shrew), 207 nucleotides. RefSeq lists it as uncharacterized. The record is from RefSeq and is a predicted model, not a curated record. NCBI's taxonomy places the organism in Eukaryota, Metazoa, Chordata, Mammalia, Scandentia, Tupaiidae. The transcript has 3 exons.